RNAcentral lists this long non-coding RNA (1135 nucleotides) under Salvator merianae (Argentine black and white tegu). Its description in RNAcentral is "lncRNA (ENSSMRG00000011001.1)". Lineage: Eukaryota; Metazoa; Chordata; Lepidosauria; Squamata; Teiidae. The record is from RNAcentral.
GCACGAGAGCAGAGCGAGGGAUUGCAUUACUCCAGGCCUUGCUGUGCGCAGAGCGAGCAAAGAGGACAUCUGUGUGAGAGGCAAGGGCUCUAAGAAGGGAGCGUGGUGGACGAUCAGUUGCUCCUACACCAUUCUUGACCUUUAUUCUUGAUCUCUGCAAUGGCAGCUGUGCCCUCUGCUGGUUGCCUCCUGGCCAAGAACCAGUAUUACCGAACACGACUGAAUUCUGAUUCCAGUGUUUCUUCAAGCAGUUCAUCUUGCUGUUCUGAACCCACAGCCUUUUCAGACCAGGAAAAAUCUUUACACGGGUUGCCUGAACUGUUUGAAAAAUGUUGGUGGAUAAAAAGUUUUUUCCACUGUGAACCAGCCGCACCUCAGACUGUUGGCAGAAAAACCUUAUCAGCCAGCAGUAUUAACAGCUGACUUGGACAACAGAUUGAGGAUUUCAAACCCACAGACUCAUAUGUGGUUGCACUCAGCUGUGUGAAGAAAACAAUCUGCUAAGACUUCAGUUCCAAGAGAAGUACAAAAUAGAUUUCAAAGGAUUUUAUUCAUAGCUUAUUCUUACCAUCAGCCAUCAUUUUAUCUUUCCAUGACUGCUUGCAGAGUUCAUGAUAGUGAACAGCUGUUAUAUAUUUCAUAAUGAUUCGGGCUUGUCAUUGAAGGAAAUCCAAGUGAAAGUCUUGUUAGCAAGGAGUAUUUGCCAGUGUUUCUAGUCUCAGAAAAAUUGAAAUUUUUUUGCAAACUAUUUAAUGUAGCAGUGUCUUUGGAUGCAUUUUUUAAAUAUCUUUCUUCAUAAUUUCAAUCCAGUGAAGUUUGUUUCAGUUACACCUCAUGAUGUUAAUGGAAUUGAAAUAAUCACUAACUUUUCCCCUAGUUUAACUAAUUUAAUUUCUGUCUAACUAGGAUUGUAGAACCUUAUCACCAUACACAACUUAUUUUAAAAAAUGUCAGAUGCAGAAGGAAGCAAAUGUUUCUAGAAUACUAGAAGCAAAUUUUAGUGUGAAUUCAUUACUGAGUGUGCACUCUUUACAGGAGGUUGGUCCUGUUGCAUUUGUUGUAAAUAUGUGUUACUAGGAUCAUUUUUUCUUUCGUUGACAUCAAAUAAAUUUGCCCUACAUCUGUAUGAUCUGCA